Long non-coding RNA from Dendrobium catenatum, 759 nucleotides. RefSeq lists it as uncharacterized. The transcript is spliced from 2 exons. Lineage: Eukaryota; Viridiplantae; Streptophyta; Magnoliopsida; Asparagales; Orchidaceae. The record is from RefSeq and is a predicted model, not a curated record.
CUGAAUCUAAAGAUUUGAACACUUAUUCGAUUUAUAACUUGGUUGGAUCACUCAUUGCUUAUGAGCAAGGAGUGAAUCAAAGAAAUCUUGAUGCAUGUGAGAAAAAAAAAGAAAAAAACUAUGGCACUAAAAGCCAACAACACGAACACUGAUCCUUUUGGAUAUGAAAAUGAUGAUGUUGUCUUCAUCACUAGGCAAUUCAAAAGCUUUUUAAGGAAGAAGCAAAAAGACCAUUAGAAGUGGAAAAAAGGUAAGGAUAGUAAAAAUUAUAAAAGUUCUUCUGAUGUUGUUUGCUUUGAAUGCAGGAAGCCUGGACAUGUUAAAACUAAUUGUCCUACUCUUAAGUAGCACCCAAACAAGGAGAAUGGUGAGGAAAAACCCAAAUACAGGAAGGACAAUAAGCGAUCCCAAAAAGCUUUAUGGGCGGAUUCUGCAUCUAACUCAUAUGAGACUGAAGCAGAGGAGGAAACUAAGAACUUAUGUUUAAUGGCCGAUAAUCAACAUGAACAAUCUGAUCAAGAAGAGGUGAGCUCUCAUCAAAGACCUUGUGAGAGUAUAAGUUACUUGGACAACGGAGGCUCAUGGCUCAUAAUUGCUUAAAUUUGCUGCUUAAUAAAUUUUGAAUUGCUUAUCUACUACUAUGUUGAUUGUUGUUAUUUUCUAUUAGUUUAUUAUGUUUGAUGUUGUUCUUUAGUAGUUAUAUCUCAGAUGUUUUUGGUUUUCCUUUUUUAGUUGAAAUGAUAUUUUUGUCUUAUUUUA